GGAAAUGUAGCUCAGUGGUAGAGCAAUUGCCUAAGAUGUACAAAGCCCUGGGUUUGACUCCCAGCAAUACUU
This 72-nucleotide transfer RNA is filed under the name Dipodomys ordii (Ord's kangaroo rat). It matches the Rfam family "tRNA". From Rfam's summary of the family: Transfer RNA (tRNA) molecules are approximately 80 nucleotides in length. Their secondary structure includes four short double-helical elements and three loops (D, anti-codon, and T loops). The record is from Rfam by way of RNAcentral. Lineage: Eukaryota; Metazoa; Chordata; Mammalia; Rodentia; Heteromyidae.